This 271-nucleotide unclassified non-coding RNA is filed under the name uncultured fungus. Its description in RNAcentral is "partial contains small subunit ribosomal RNA, internal transcribed spacer 1, and 5.8S ribosomal RNA". The stretch from base 1 to 73 matches the Rfam family "Eukaryotic small subunit ribosomal RNA", at positions 1759 to 1831 of the family's 1831-position model. The record is from RNAcentral. Lineage: Eukaryota; Fungi.
UCAAACUUGGUCAUUUAGAGGAAGUAAAAGUCGUAACAAGGUUUCCGUAGGUGAACCUGCGGAAGGAUCAUUACUGGGGUUUUUGCCUCCCUCUCCGGGGGGUGGCAAUUCUAACCACCAAUAAUUCACCAUGUGCACUCAUUCGGAUUAUGGAAUAAUAUUCCAUAGUCCACAAUCUUUCUACGUCUUAUUACAUGUCUGAUAUAUUAUUUUUGAUAAUACAACUUUCAACAACGGAUCUCUUGGCUCUCGCAUCGAUGAAGAACGCAGC